RNAcentral lists this ribosomal RNA (414 nucleotides) under uncultured prokaryote. RNAcentral describes it as "bacterial SSU rRNA". It matches the Rfam family "Bacterial small subunit ribosomal RNA", at positions 505 to 918 of the family's 1533-position model. The record is from RNAcentral.
GUGUCAGCAGCCGCGGUAAUACGUAGGGUGCGAGCGUUAAUCGGAAUUACUGGGCGUAAAGCGUGCGCAGGCGGUUUCGUAAGCCAGAUGUGAAAUCCCCGGGCUUAACCUGGGAACUGCAUUUGGGACUGCGAGGCUAGAGUACGGCAGAGGGAGGUGGAAUUCCACGUGUAGCAGUGAAAUGCGUAGAUAUGUGGAGGAACACCGAUGGCGAAGGCAGCCUCCUGGGCUAGUACUGACGCUCAUGCACGAAAGCGUGGGGAGCAAACAGGAUUAGAUACCCUGGUAGUCCACGCCCUAAACGAUGACAACUAGUUGUUGGGGAUUUAACAUCCUUAGUAACGCAGCUAACGCGUGAAGUUGUCCGCCUGGGGAGUACGGUCGCAAGAUUAAAACUUAAAGGAAUUGACGGGG